UACAGAGGGGGCAAGCGUUGUUCGGAAUUACUGGGCGUAAAGGGCGCGUAGGCGGCCUGCUAAGUCGAACGUGAAAUCCCUGAGCUCAACCCAGGAACUGCGUCCGAUACUGGUUGGCUUGAAUCCGGGAGAGGGACGUGGAAUUCCAGGUGUAGCGGUGAAAUGCGUAGAUAUCUGGAGGAACACCGGUGGCGAAGGCGACGUCCUGGACCGGCAUUGACGCUGAGGCGCGAAAGCGUGGGGAGCGAACAGG
RNAcentral lists this ribosomal RNA (253 nucleotides) under uncultured bacterium. Its description in RNAcentral is "partial 16S ribosomal RNA". It matches the Rfam family "Bacterial small subunit ribosomal RNA", at positions 524 to 776 of the family's 1533-position model. The record is from RNAcentral.